Non-coding RNA from Vicugna pacos (alpaca), 3236 nucleotides. The record is from RefSeq and is a predicted model, not a curated record. NCBI's taxonomy places the organism in Eukaryota, Metazoa, Chordata, Mammalia, Artiodactyla, Camelidae.
AUAGCUGUGUAUGUUUUUGUAGGUCUUUCCUCAGCUUAGAGCUUAUCAAAGAGCUGGACCUAGUAAGAACCUCAGUUUGCAGCAGUGAAAUUUGGGGAAAAGAUUCACAUAGUUGUCAUUAAUUUACUGUAAAGCAAUGGAGGUGUAGUAAAAAGAGGAUAGAUUUAGGUAUCAACCAGAACCAGAUUUAAAUAUUAGCUGCAUGUGCACUUAUGGUUCGAUAUCAAUGACCCACACCCACGGUGUCAUGGGGGAAUUCUCUGUUACUGUUGGACAAAGGAAGAAAAUUCUAGCCUGGUCUACAUAUGGCUCCACAUGUUUUACUGGUUCCAGCCAGAAAUGUACUUUAGGAGCACAGUAGUCCAAAUUUGUAGAAGUCAGUCUGUCUUUUCCCAGCCACUCUGAUGCUUGCUCAAAGUUGUACAUGAGUUUAACAACACAGGCCUCCCUUCUCUAAGGCUGAACUACCUAUCACAGCUGACAACCCAACUUACCAACAGCAAAGAUGAAUACUGAACUCCUGACCUCACGCUAUACCCCGGGGGUACCAACUAGCCACCUGGUAGUAGGUUGAUUAAAAUGUCCCUUCCAUCACUAAGAGAACAAAUUUUCUUUUGCUUUCUUUUUUAAACAAAUUUCUUGCUAGAAUGGUCAUUCUGGGUAUGGAUUUGCUUUCCUUCCCAAAUGCUUGUGCCAGCUUCAUCAUCUAUGGACUUGCAGAAUGCUUUAUUCACCACCAUAGCAUCUCACCAUUUCAUUGUUUUGUUCAAGGAAAUAAUUAUUUACAGCAAAGGAGUGAGGCUUAGGGCUGUAGCUCAUAGGAUUCACUGUUUUUAUUGUGCAACCAUGUAUCCUAUUCUCCAGAGGAAGCUGGCUUUAUAGGGCAGUAGAAUGAUCCAGUUAUAUCAUCUGGGAAACAACACUUUUGGAGGAUGGAUGCUAUCCUACAGUUUGCAAUGUAUGCUAAUCAAGUGACCAAUAUAUGAUUCUGUUUAUCUCAUAGCUAGACUACACAGGGCUGGAAAUCAGAGGGUUAAAGUGGGAGUUGCUCCUUUGACUAACCCCAAAAUUGUAGAAUUUUUCUUCCCAUGUUUAUGUAUUUGGCUACUGCUGGUUUUAGAGGACUUAAUACACGAAGAAAGAAUGCUUUUCAUCAGGAGACAUACAGUGAGUCCAUUGAGUUGGAAGUUGAGACUGUCACCUGGCUAUUUUGAGCUCCCUCAUGUCAUUGAUCUAACAUACCAAGAAGAGUGUGACUGUAGUGAGGUGAUUGAUUCUAAUUUCCAAGGGAAAAUUGGGUUGCUGUUACACAAUGAGGGAAAGAGAACAGUGUCUGGAAACUAGGGGAGUCUCCAGGUGCACGACAGUGACCCAAUAAAAGUAGGACUGCUACAGCUUCAGACCCUUUAAGAAUGAAGAUUUGGGUCAUUCCACAAGGUUCUAAACCUUGAUUGACUGAGGUGAUGGCUGAAGGAAAGAGGAACAUGGAAACUUAGUGGAAUAAAGAAAGUAUAUAACUCAACUAUAGCAUCAUGAUCAUUUAUAAAGAUGAGAACUAUAGCAGAUAUUAUUUUUUCUUUGCUUUUAUGUAUAUUUUAGUAUACAUUAACUAUUUUGCCUCACUCUUUCUCUAUAUUAUUUUUAUGAGAUUGUUUGUUGGGAUUAACUUUUAAAUUUAAAAUUUAGGUUAAAAAAUAUUCGGGUAGAAUUUUGACUGAACUAAAACAGAAGUUAAAUUUGAUCUAGAGAUGGAUAUGAUGGCUGUGGGGAUACUGUCUUCCCUUUUUGGGUGAGAAUGUCUUCCUCUGUGCAAAUGUUAGUUGCGUCUUGUUAGGAGGUAGCAUGAAGUUGUAACUGUGGUUGUAUGCAAGUUUAAGGGUUGGUUGAGGGCUUUGAUUGGAUACUGAGUAAAGGGGUAUAUUGUGCAUUCAUUCUUAUUAUUUGUCUUUUGUCUCCUAGAUCUAAGCCUACUAUUCUAUAUUCUGUUCUGUGAUGCUGGGGCUGGGACUCUGCAAACUGCUUUUCCUAGAUUUCCUUGCUAGCUGGCUUCCUUCCGCUAGGCUGUGCCAAUGGGAAGCACUCAUGGAAAACUGGAAAGAGUGAAGAGAGGAAAAGGCCGAGAGGUGAAGGACCAAUAACUCUGAGAAGGGGUAUUUGUAUAUUGAAAAGAAGAAUAUCUUCACCUGUCUUUGUGCCUUGUUUCUGCAUAAGUAACGUCCAAUGAUUACGAUUAUGGAAGUCAGCAGUAUCAGAAAUGCUGCCAAAGCUGUGACUACUCUGAAGACUGAUGAACUGAAGGACUCAGCAACUGAAAUGCAGAUUUCCACCAGUCAGUGACAGUGAAGAGCAUUGUUCCCACCUGCGCUUCUUGCUCAGCAAGAUGGUAGAUGGAAAUUGAGGGAAGAGAUGAAAGACAUCAUAGGAGUUACUUUCAGUGGAAUACAUUUCUAGAUGGCCAAGAGAAAAGUUUGGAUUGGGGGAAUUGGAAACAGUGGAAAAUUGAUCCAAAUUAGAGAAUGAAUGGAGGUGUUUUAAAAUAAUCAUAUGUGCCAGGCAUGGAGAUGCACUGCUCAGAUCCCUCUUCAGGAAAGGACCCAUUGCCCAGCAGCUGCAAGUAUGAAAACACAGGGGCCAGAGAAACAUGAAAUAACACCAUGGAGAUGGAUGCAACUAACCAAAUCCAGAAUGUGGGAGAAGAAACAUGACAAGACAAUGACCAGUUCCUUCAAUAAACCAAUUGCAAAGAAAACAAAAAGGUAGGUGAUACUGAUGAAAAGAGAUUUAAGAGACAUAUCAAAAUCCUUUGCUAUUUAUUCUACUAAGUAGUGGAUUCUAAUUUCCUUCCUCCUAGCUGGCCUUAAUGACUUGUUUGACCAAUAGAAUGUAAGUGAUGUUCUGGGAAUUCCAGAUAGGUCAAAAGAGCCUGACAGGUGCCACAUGGGGCCUCUUGCAAUACUGUCCCUGGGAUUCCUGAGCCUCCAUGUAAGAAGCCUGAUUACUCAUAACCAGCAUACUGGGUAGGGCUGCAUGUGUAGGCACAGAUGCCGUCAUGUGAAUGGUGCCAUCUUGGAUCCUCCAGACCAGCCACUGUCAAUAUCACAUGGACCAGAAGGAUCACCCAGCCAGUCAUUGCUCAAAUUAUUGAUGCAUAAUACUGUGAGAUAUAACAAAGUGGUUAUUAUUUUAAAUAACUCUGUUUGGGAGUAGUUUGUUAGAAAACUAUAGAUAACCAGAAG